UACGUAGGGGGCGAGCGUUGUCCGGAUUUAUUGGGCGUAAAGAGCUCGUAGGCGGUUUGGCAAGUCGGGUGUGAAAACUCCGGGCUCAACUCGGAGACGCCACUCGAUACUGCCAUGACUCGAGUCCGGUAGGGGAGUGCGGAAUUCCUGGUGUAGCGGUGAAAUGCGCAGAUAUCAGGAGGAACACCGGUGGCGAAGGCGGCUCGCUGGGACGGUACUGACGCUGAGACGCGAAAGCGUGGGGAGCAAACAGG
Molecule: ribosomal RNA, 254 nt
Filed under: uncultured bacterium
Lineage: Bacteria
Description: partial 16S ribosomal RNA
Rfam family: Bacterial small subunit ribosomal RNA
Source: RNAcentral